RNAcentral lists this ribosomal RNA (492 nucleotides) under uncultured bacterium. RNAcentral's name for it is "partial 16S ribosomal RNA". It matches the Rfam family "Bacterial small subunit ribosomal RNA", at positions 29 to 507 of the family's 1533-position model. The record is from RNAcentral.
AGUGAACGCUGGCGGUAGGCCUAACACAUGCAAGCCGAACGGCAGCACAGUAAGAGCUUGCUCUUACGGGUGGCGAGUGGCGGACGGGUGAGGAAUACAUCGGAAUCUACUUUUUCGUGGGGGAUAGCGUAGGGAAACUUACGCUAAUACCGCAUACGACCUACGGGUGAAAGCAGGGGAUCUUCGGACCUUGCGCGAUUGAAUGAGCCGAUGUCGGAUUAGCUAGUUGGCGGGGUAAAGGCCCACCAAGGCGACGAUCCGUAGCUGGUCUGAGAGGAUGAUCAGCCACACUGGAACUGAGACACGGUCCAGACUCCUACGGGAGGCAGCAGUGGGGAAUAUUGGACAAUGGGCGCAAGCCUGAUCCAGCCAUACCGCGUGGGUGAAGAAGGCCUUCGGGUUGUAAAGCCCUUUUGUUGGGAAAGAAAAGCAGCAGGUUAAUACCCCGCUGUUCUGACGGUACCCAAAGAAUAAGCACCGGCUAACUUCGUG